Molecule: RNA transcript, 7126 nt
Organism: Lethenteron reissneri (Far Eastern brook lamprey)
Lineage: Eukaryota; Metazoa; Chordata; Hyperoartia; Petromyzontiformes; Petromyzontidae
Source: RefSeq, a predicted model, not a curated record
CACGCGCGCACGCACACGAUUCAGAUCACACACACGCGCGCACGCACACACACCGACACACACACACACAGCACUCGCAUAGCGCAGCACAUAGCAGGGCAGACAAUGAGAGAGGGCCACGCUGCUGCUGAUGAUGAUGCGCGUAGGAGGAGGAGGAGGGCAUCGGUAGGAGGGAAGCAUUUGUGAGAGCUGCAGCAGUGAGUAGUUUUACGCGCAGACCGAGAUGCGCGUGGCGCGUAGGGGUUGUUUACAUCUGCUGUUGUGUUGUCGUGUCUGUGCUCUUAACACCGUGUUGUGUUGUACGUGAGCAGUUGUUGCUGCUGCUGCUGUUGUUGUUGUGGCUGCCGCUGCUGCUGUUAUUGUUGCAGUGGCUACUGCUGUGGUUGUUGUUGUUGCAGUGGCUACUGCUGCUGCUGUCUGCGUGUCUGCGUUAGCUCGGCGCCGAGCAGCGCUCAUCACUGCAACGCUGCAGGAAUGCGCGGAGCUGAAUUUUUCAUCAAGAGCCCGAGGACAGAACGUCCAGUAGCAGACAAGUCUGAGCUCAGGUCGCCUCCGCUCUCCUCUAUCCCGGAAUCCUCAUCAGCAGGCAUCGUCAUUUAAUCAUUACAGGAUAUUAAGAUCAUCAUCAUCAUCAGAGUAACGUCGUCAACAAUCAGCAUCGUUAAAAGCACGAUCAUUAUCAUUGCGCAACGUUGUUAAUAACAUCAUCAUCAUUAUCGUCAUUAAAUGUUUUAUUGUCAUCAUCAACAAGCGCCGUCAUUAAUCACCGCUAUCAGCGUCUUGAUCAUCAAGCAGCGCCGUCAAUAACCAUCAUCAGCUACAUCGUAAUAAUCAUCGUUACAAUAUCGAUUAUCAUCGCGCAACCACUACCAUCAUCAUCAUCGUUAAAAUAUCCUAAUUGACACAGUCAAUAACAGCCAUCGUCAGCAGUCGUAGCCAUCACCGCGACCACUCUCUGAUCUGCAGGGGUAUAAAUCAUCACCACAGUUACGAUCAUCAGUGGGAGCAUCAGCGGUACCACUAACACAAAAGCAUCAACACAUUCGCCCUUACCAGGACGAGCUCGUAGUGUCCAACCACAACAGUCUGCAGCUACAAACAGAGUCCAACACAACGGCUGAGCUGGGGCUGCACACAAACAAUCCUCUUUGCCUGAGCAACGACAAAGCAGCAGCAGCAGCAUCUUAAGGAGCAGCAGCAGCAGCAUCAACAUCGGCUUCAUCAACAUCAUCAGCAGCAUCAACGCCGGCUCCAUCAACAUCGGCAGCAGCAUCGCCACGACCAUGAUCGAGACCAUCACACACAAGUUGCGGGCCUGCUCUCUGAAUGAGGUUCGCCCGUUUGUGUUGAAGGUGACGCGUUUGUGCAGCGGAGACUCGGACUCUGAGGAGGAGAACCAGGAACUGGCACAGAUCGACCGAGAGAGAAGGAAAUUACGGUGCCUUCCAUGCAGACCGACGGGAGCUGAUUUGAGCCAAAGGACAACCCAUUACAAGGAGCUGCUGCAGCCGAGCGCCGAGUGCCAGAACCGGCUGGGGCUGCUGGAGGACCGGGCGGUGCCGGCGGUGCCGGCGUCAAGCGGCUGGCAGGAGAGGAGGGCUCCUGGCUGCUACCACACGUGGCCCCAGGCCGGCGGGCGGCCCGGCGGCCGCUGCGCGCUGGUGACCGCCAGGGCGUGGGCCGGCUGGGACCCGCACCGCGGCGUGCCCGCCGCCUUCCAGCCGCUGCGGCAGCAGCACCCUUGCCGGACGGCGGCGGCUGCGGCGGCGGCGGCGCGGACGUUGGCGACGGCCCCCGACCCGCCGCUCGCCGCGUUCCUCCGGCCGGAGGCGCGCGGCGGCGGCGGUGGUGAUGCCGGUGGCGGAGACGGCGGUGCAGUGGUCGUGGUGCGCAGACCUCACGCCACGCUGGCCGACCCGGCCCGCAGGCCCAGCCUCAACUUUGAGAAGAUGCAGCAGAGCAUUGGUGGAGGACUCAGCUGCCCGCGAGACCCGGCCAUGUUCGCGUUCCGCCCGCUCGCCUCUCCGGCCGACGUGCUGGGAUGCAGCCCGGCCGUCCCCGGCUCCACCGCGGCACCCGACCCGUGACCCCCGUGACCCCCGUGACCCCCGUGUCCCUGACCCCCUUUGACACCCGCGAGGCUGUCGCGUCUUUGUCGAGGCUUGACCAUUCCACGGUUUAUUUACGGAGUCGCAGGCGUGGCAGGAAAAAAAAAAACGCCGUCGCGGCGCCGUCGAACUGACUCGGGCAAAUCGCGGAGGCGAUGUCGGGGAAAAUGCAGGCCGGCUCGAUGGAAAAAGUGACGCGAAAAUUCACGGGUUCGUGUUAAUGUCACGACGGGUUUGAACUUACGGCACAGCUAUUGCGAUGCGGUGCGGUGGGGGGGGGGGGGGAGUUGCAACGGGGCAGUUUCGGAGCGAGCGGUUUGCAUUCGUGCACGUGGGUAAUGAAGAAUGUAAUGAACCGAUUUAAUCCGACGACAUCUAGGCUAUCUGAUGAAGCGGUCGGAAAUGCGGGCGGCAAAGAAAAAAUGCAUUCCAGCCGUGGUUGUUUCGCAGGAGGCAGCCGUCGCCUCAUGCAAGAACGGUGCAGCAGAGUUAGCGAGCGAUUCCAGGGGGAAAUGCGGUGCGAUGGAGAACCGGGUAAAGGAAGCUGGCUAUAAUCGUGCCAAUGCGAUGAUCUCUGUCACGUGUGACAGCGAGGGUCCGAGGGACGGCAUUCCAGGUCAUGCGAUGGUUGCUGAAUGCGUUUACGACGACGUGGACUGUGAACGGCCGUGCAUAUCGACAGCUCUCGCUCGUUCAUUCAAUGUGCAGAGGGGGAAGGUAGCGAAGGUGAUGCUUACGUUGCCACCUGUCCCGGUUUUCCAAGGAUUGUUCCUCUUGUUCAGGCAGCUGUUGCCCUGGGAACAUCUGUAAGUCUUCCCGGGACGUCACUCUACAAUACACCAUGGCAAAACAAAGACGAUAUAUAUUCACGAAUAGCUAUCCCUUUCUUCCCAUGAUAUGUCUUGGAUAUUUUAGCUCCGAGGUGCCAAGUCUAAACAUAGCAGACACGAAUCGCCGAAGCUAGACUACAUUCUUCCUCAUGCUGUGUUUUGCAAUUUGCUUUUUCGGCCAUAGCUCACUGCAAACAGUGUGUCUUUGGGUGCCCUUUGCUUAUCGCCAGGCCUCUACAAUAGCCUCUUGCGCGCCUGCCAGUACGAAUGUAUGUGUGUUGAACUUCUUUUGCACGUUACGUAGCCAACCGUGCUCACAUCGGGGGAUGCGGAUAAGCCGGAGCCCAUCAGCCCACAGAGAUCUGCUCCACCCCACGGCGUCUCUCUCGGUGGCUUCUCUCGACAAGCACGACGAUAACGCCAUCCGUCCGCUCGCAAAAGGAACCGUUGUCUUCCCGAGACACUUGCUGUCACCCCGAAGUGUUUAUCGCACUAUCCAAGGGCGUCGUUGUCAACCCACCGCAUGGCAAUCGUUCGCGAGGCGUUCAUGAAACCCUGUCGGACUGCUCACUGGGUAAAAUAACCACGAGAUGAUUCUCCCAGCAUGCACUGCUCUCGUGUAAACCGUGGAAUUUUCAAAAUCAAAGAAAGAGGAAUGGGGGGGGGGGGGUGAAACAACGCUUGGAUUUCUUUAGUUCUCCCCCCAACCCCAUGAACACAUGCAAUUAGAAUCCUCAGAAGCGGUCGCUUGUCUGAGAGACGCCCCGUGGCCAGUUCCAGGGGGAGUUUUUAUUUUGGUUUGUUUCUCCAAACGAAGAAGAAGAAGAAAGUGUUCUGCAGAAAAUGCAAAGUUGUCGUACUGUUCAGUGAAUGCUGCCUUAUCUUGCAAGUAUUUUACACGUGUUUCCUAGGUACGCAUGGACGGUUAAGUGUGACGAUACCAAUUCGUUUUUUUUAUUGAAAUAAUUUAUGUUUAUCCUCGAACCGUGGUGAAGUUUUGUUCGUGUUUAUUUUCUCGUCGGUUACGCUUAAGUGCAGUAUAUUAAAGUGGAUCAAACAGAAUUGCUUUUUUAUCCUUCUCCAUUUUAGCUUCAUAAUAUUUAUGGACUGGCAAUGGAAUGCAGUCUUUCUUUUUGAAUUCAUCAGUCCCCCUGUGUAAUGUGAGUGUCCAUGGACAGACGCCUUCGCAUCAGGGCUAGAGCCAUUGUGCGUGUCGUGGUGGGUGGGUGGGGGUUGGCACAGUAGGGGGCACAGGUAGUGCAUCAGCCAUUCAUCUCGGUCAUCUCAGUCAGUCGACCCGUGGCACCUGGGUCUUCCCCGUGACCUCCUGCCAGUGGGCGUUCGACACUUCACGUGGCCUCAAGGUGCACAUGGCCUGGCACAAGCGUGCUGGUGACGUCACCGCCACUUCGUGGCGAAUGGCGGUUGUUGUUGUUGUGGGGGUACGGACACGGCCAGCACGUUCUGUAGGACACGGCCAAGAGACGUAACAAUUCGGACGAAUCUCGACCACCGUUUUUUUGAGACCACGCGUGCGUCGCCGCCUCCUCCUCCUUGAGCCAGGCGACGUGAACUCCGAUCGCGUCGACGACCGCGCAAGCAGCGGGCAGUAAUUGACGGUAGUAUUAGCGAAAAUCGGGUGAGUGUACAUCGGUAAUCUAACCAAUAACCAACGGGACCCAUUCCCUGGUGGGACUCCUCCAUCCAAAGUGUGUCUGCGUCCCUAUUUUACACCAUGCUAUCUUUGGCCAAUGACUCGUGUACACCAGUCCAACCUGCACUGCAAAGCCGAUUGUUCAACUUGCCUUCCGAUAGAGCCCAGGUGUGUGUGCAAUUAGGCGGCCACGUGGAUCGGAGUGCAACUUCCCCUUGUGUCUAAACGGUGGCGGCAUCUCGGGGUGGAUCUGCUGAGAUGAUCGACCGUUGACGAAGAGUCGUGGGGUCACUGCAAAGGGUCCACUCGGCCCCCACUGCGUCAUUUAGUCGAAACAAAUGGGCAGGCGACUCGUUGGGCGGUGGUAUCGGCCGCGCGUGUUUAUUCCUUCUUUGCACUUGGGUUCACCGCCAGCUACCGGGAGCCGACAUACAAUAAUGAUAAUUGUCACGAAAGUGAACAAUUGCUCGUUAAUGUAAAACUCCAUCAUAGAGUUUUAGAUUUGAAGCUUUCGUAACUGCAAGGAUUCAUAUUCUUAGGUUUUUUCGGUAAAGUCACGUAGGUAAAAAAUUCAAAUUAAUAAAAGUUAAAUAAAAAUAAAAUAAAAAUCAUAUUUUAUUUUUAUUUUACUUCCAUAAUAGAGGUUUUUUGGGGGUUAGAUUGCGUAAAUAUAUAAAUGUGUCGUUAAACCCGCCACCACCCGACACAGCCAAUUAGUAAUGUGUGUCACGUAAACAAAACAUGCCAAUUCGUCACUAGUACAGCACACCGGUGUGUUGGAGAGCCAAGCCACAACGUUUACAAUCUGAGUACGACGUUUCGCCAGUAAUUGCAACUAGCGUCAUCAGCCGACAGCCAGUUGUAAAACUUCCGAACACUCGACUCAAAAUUCGAGAAGUUUCUUUGGCACAUCGUUUUUUUUGUUAAAAUAUGGCACCACGCUUAAAAAUAAUUAAAUCCACACACGCGCGCGCGAGCGAGCGAAGACUGUUUUUAAUUUACCACUCGAAGCGUUUCUUUCCAGAAUGAAAAAAAGUAAAACCAGAAACGUACAGUGUUACUGUCAAGUCGGUCCAUGCCACGUGCAACAUUGUCCAAGGUCCAUGGACGAUGUUGAACCGUCACAGGAAAUCAUAUUAACAAUUGGCCUUACGACAUAAUCAUGUUUAAACAUUGAGAAAGAGACAUGUAUACGCGUUACAUAUAUUUGCCUAAAUAUUAUAUACAUCGACAAGACUGUACUAUGCAGUGUCCGCACAGGGUUGGGCAGGGUAUAAUAAUAUAAUUAAUUUACCCAAAACUAUUACAUCGUUAUUAACGUAAUCGUUGUUGAGAUGUAAGGGUAUCGGGAUUUCUCAGUCACCCUGUGGUUAAUCGCCACUCUUCUUUUUCUGUGCGUUCUUUUAUAUAUAUAUUUUAAAGCCUCGCUACAGCUGUCUGGUGAACUCUGCCAUCCAUCUUUGUCGAUGAAUGCAGCCAGGUGCGGCGUGCAAGGUGCGCGUUUCUUUGAACACCGCAGAUCCCGUGCGCGUCCCAGCAUUGACGCUGAGCCGCAUGCGAACAGCUCAAACGCCGCUGUCACGAGCGGGUCCACGGUGGGAGGGGGUGGGGAAGAAGAGGACGGAGAUGGAGCGGAUGGGAUCACUGAUAAAAUUCGUAGAAUGUUUCAUUCAUUAACUUAUGGGGGCCUCUACGAAGCUUCCCAUUUUUCUGCUCCCCCCCCUCCUGCCUUGGGAAGAUUCUCGAUCCGCCUCUGGUUCCUGUUCAGUUCUCUGUUGAGAGAGAGAGAGAAACAUGUGGGGGGCAACGCUACAUCAUAAUAAAAUUAUGUUGGCUGGGCCCGCUGAUUCCUUUCCAUCCCCCCUCCCCAUCCCAUCACCGUUGCCAAGGGAGAAACUUUGUCCAAGCCUCGGGUCGUACCCAACGUUUUAAUAUCUUACAAAAGUGCAUGAUUUUGAAAAUGUUUCUUUCGGACAUUGCCUCGAUCGAAAUAUAGUUUUCAUGGAUGAAACAUGUCGCGAAGACGAUGGUGGUAAUAAUAAUCAUAGCCACAACAUUUUGAGGAAGGGGGGGGGGAGGAAUACUCAUGAUACGGCAUGAUCCAGUGUCAUAGCCUUUGCGGAUUCAGGAUAUUCGCACAACAGCCGGAAUGUAUCGUCUCUUUGAAGGAGCGUUCGGAAAUACGGCACCACACUUGUUUAGCCGCGCUCACCGUUAACAAAGAGUGGCGUUGCUCAUCGAGACGCACACACACACAACACCGUUGUGAAGGAGCCUUGCCCUAUAACACUUUUAUAUAUGUACGUAAGAGCCAUAGAGGCAAUCUUUAACAAAGGUCCGUGGACACGUGUACAUUGUAAACCGUCCAAAUAUCAAUGAAACGACGAUUUACUGUAAACCAAUUUUAUGACGCACUAGAUUGGUUUAAAUACAUAAUGUGUGAUUGCCCAUGUUUGCAUGCGAUUGGCAGUAUACCUUACUCUGAUGUAAGUGUAAAUAUCUGUGUAUAAAUGCCACGUUUCAAAAUUCCUUAA